Oncorhynchus kisutch (coho salmon) is the source of this 2140-nucleotide long non-coding RNA. RefSeq lists it as uncharacterized. NCBI's taxonomy places the organism in Eukaryota, Metazoa, Chordata, Actinopteri, Salmoniformes, Salmonidae. The record is from RefSeq and is a predicted model, not a curated record. The transcript is spliced from 2 exons.
UGUGGGUACAAUCCACGAUGAAAGAUAAUCUUGCACUGUUAAUGUAGGCAUAUCAAUAAACCAGAUUACAUGACAGGCCAGUAUUGAACAACACAUUUCUAGCCUCGAACAAUGAUAGAUCUAUUUGAAAACUACCAGGAACGGUGCAGCGGUUUAAACAUUUUUUCGCAACCUUUUCUCCACGUUACGCCCUCGCAAACCGUCAAAAACGUUGUUCUUAAAGCCUGCCCGAAACACUAAGUACAAGCGUGUUGUGGUUUCAUAGCAGUGAAGAAACUAAACGUUGGAAAAUUAAAAAAGGAAACGGGGUAACCCGAACGAGAGGAUGUGGUGUUUGUUUAUCGUAAAGGUACUGACAGGAGGUGUGACGAGGACGCUGAUCCAGUGGACCUGGUGCCAGUAAGGAUGGUCGUCACGGAGGCGAUAAGACCGUCCAGGAUGGAGAAAUCCUUCGACUUCACUGCCUUUUCAAUGGUAAGGUCCCUUGCACCAUAGGGACACUUGACCUCCACCACUGCUGUGGUGCCCACCAGACCAUCCGGUGAGGCACCCAGGAUACCAGUCCCCAUGACCCAAAGCCCUGACUCCUGCAUCUCCAUCCCUGUAGCCAUUUUGAAUGCCUUGAUGUCCUCCUCUUUGUUAUCUGUGCUCCACUUUACAGACAACACCCCAUCCAAUGACUGUGAUCUGAGGACCCUUUUUUAGCAGCGAGGGAGUAACGUGCUUGGCCCUAACUGCUGCGCCAAAUGUCUGGCCGUCAACCUCCCUCUCCUUAUGAUGUGCCAGUUGGGGUUGGUGCACUGUCCCAACUGUUGCCUGCCGUAUAGCAUCCUGCUGCUCCACCGACAUCGCCAUGCAUGCUCCAGGUGCCUUUAAAAAAAGAAAUAUUUGGUACAGACCUGCCAUUCCACUGAACCUGCCCCACAGAUGGUUCCUUAGCCACUGAAGAUCCUCCUCUGUGGGCUCUAGGGACAGAGACUUAGUCGUCUUCGGCCGGGUAAAGAUCCUCCAUGGACUGCAUCUGGUUGGGCACAAGCGGCUUCCUCCACUCACAUUACACAUCCAUACAGCCGAUAUUGUGAACCGCAAAAAUAGCCAAUGCAGUUGCAUGGCUGCACUUAGGAGCUCCACGGGAGCAUUCACAUGUGGUAGAGAGAAUCCCCUGGUCACCUAUAGAGACCUGCCAAGAGGAAAGUGCUAUAUGCAUGACUUUGAACACCUUGAAAUGCAUUUGUUGUAAGAAAUGUGCUAUAUUUAUUGAUUAGGCCCUUCCCACAUGACUGGGAAGGGGCGCAGCCUUGGAUGGGCCUGGGAGGGCAUAGGCCCAGCCAAUCAGAAUGAGUUUUUCCCCACAAAAGGGCAUUAUUACAGACAGAAAUACUCUCCAGUAUCAUCAGCUGCAGAAAAGCCAGCAAAUUCACAUGCAAUAAGUAAAUGUUCAUCUACUGACUAGAUUAUGCUACAGAGUGGACAGUGUUGUCCCCAGUGAUACCAGUUUGAUGUUUUUGAAGCUUAAUGUUUGAGAUUUCAUCCCAGCAUUUAGAAUGUGAGGUUCUGAGGCUUAUAAUGUUCAUGUUCAUGUUCAUGGUUUCAGACGAUCCCACAGAUGAAGAAGCAGGAAGUGGAGGUCCUGGGUUGUCCUGGUUACACAUGGUCUGUGGAUGUGAGGCCAGUUGGAUGUACUUCCAAAUUAUCUUAAAGUUGAAGGCAGCUUAUGGUUUUAUUGUCCUCAGCACAAGGUUCACCUGUGUAAUGAUCAUGCCAUUUAAUCAGCUUGAUAUGCCACACCUGUCAGGUGGAUGGAUUAUAUUGGCAAAGGAGAAAUGCUCACCAACAGGGAUGUAGACAAAUUUGUACACAUUUUGUGCAUAAGGAACAUUUCUGGGAUCUAUUAUUUCAGCUCAUGAAACAUGAGACUAACACUUUACAUGUUGCCUUUAUAUUUGUAUUCAGUAUAAAGUUAUUUGAUUGAUUGACAUUACAGCUGUAAAAUAUUUAACAAGUGCAGUUGUUCCAUAAACGUUCAAUUGAUAACUUGGGAUUGUAUCACUUGACAUAUCUAUCAUACAGUGUGAAGGAUCCUAUAAAUCAAGACUGAAUGCAUGUGCCACUCUGAAUAAAUAAAUACUGUGACUUUGAA